Molecule: transfer RNA, 69 nt
Filed under: Marmota monax (woodchuck)
Lineage: Eukaryota; Metazoa; Chordata; Mammalia; Rodentia; Sciuridae
Description: tRNA.Ala
Source: RNAcentral
GCUUGUGGCUCAGUGGUAGAGCGUUCACCUAGCAUGCAUGAAGCACUGGGUUCGAUCCUCAGCACAACA